UAUAUAACAUAGCUUCUGAUUGGGUCGUUGGCAAAUAAACCAAUAGACAAGCGCGAUAAAAUACCAUCGCGGGCCUUUAGAAACUUUUGCACGUUGCUUUCAAAAUGUCUGGGCGAGAAGGAGGAAAGAAAAAGCCUUUAAAACAGCCGAAAAAGAAAGGCGGUGAUGAUUGUGAGGAAGAUAUUGCUUUCAAGCAAAAGCAGAAAGAGGAGAAAAAGGCAUUAGAAGAGGCAAAAUCCAAAGCUGCCAAGAAAGGACCAAUGGCGGCAGGUGGGAUCAAGAAGUCUGGGAAGAAAUAACAGAUUUUCAUUUAACAACUUACUACAGCAAUAAUAGGAGAAUAUUGAACUUCUACUAAGUUUACUACAAUUGUAGUAGGAAAAUAUUUUACUGUUAAUCAAACAUCAUGAUUGUUUGGGCAACAACAGGUUCCUACACAAUCAUGUAAAUAUAUUCCUUCCUAACAUUCUGCUUUUUCAUCAUUUGCUUACACAAUAAGUUUAUUUCAUUUCCUUACACAAUGAGUUUAUUCUGAGGAGAGCUUCAGUAUAUACUUUGUACAACCCUUGUUUUGCACAAUAAAUUAUUUUUUACCAUUG
Nematostella vectensis (starlet sea anemone) is the source of this 599-nucleotide long non-coding RNA. RefSeq lists it as uncharacterized. The transcript is spliced from 4 exons. Lineage: Eukaryota; Metazoa; Cnidaria; Anthozoa; Actiniaria; Edwardsiidae. The record is from RefSeq and is a predicted model, not a curated record.